AGAGAGGAAAGGAAGCUCUCUAGAGAGACAACAAGCAGCCAACUUAGAAGACACAAAGAGCUCAUUGGAUUGUCCGGCUAAAACUACUGUAGAGUGGCAGCAUCAAACCCAGGACUGGAUAAACUCUACAGAGCGCCAAGAAGAAACACGGAAAGCCCCACACAAACCAGGGGUUGGAUCAGAGGAGUCCCUGGUGCCCUACAGCAAGCCCAGCUUCCCAUCUCCAGGCGGGCACAGCUCAUCCGGAACAGCCUCCUCUAAAGGGUCCACUGGUCCUCGGAAGGCUGAGAUUCUGAGGGGCAGCCACCAGCGGAAUGCCAAUGACCUUCUCGACAUUGGAUAUGUGGGCUCAAAUAGUCAAGGGCAGUUUACAGAGUAACUGAGAGGAGACAUACAAAGACGCUCUGAGGACCAUCAGGUCCAAACUCAUGGAAGUGAUGACAUUUAACAGUGCAAUGAACAAUUUCUUUAUUUAUGUACUAUUAAAAAAUACUGUAAAUGCAAUGUAAAGACACAGCCACACAUAUCCCACAGUUCUUUUCUUGUGUCCUUCUCUUACUUACACCACCCACCUUAACUCUUUCUUGUCAGGAGUAUAUAAGAAAAAGAAAGAAA
Molecule: long non-coding RNA, 615 nt
Filed under: Rattus norvegicus (Norway rat)
Lineage: Eukaryota; Metazoa; Chordata; Mammalia; Rodentia; Muridae
Description: long non-coding RNA NONRATT006801
Source: RNAcentral